Dermacentor silvarum is the source of this 7491-nucleotide long non-coding RNA. RefSeq lists it as uncharacterized. The record is from RefSeq and is a predicted model, not a curated record. NCBI's taxonomy places the organism in Eukaryota, Metazoa, Arthropoda, Arachnida, Ixodida, Ixodidae. The transcript is spliced from 7 exons.
GGCAGGUGGUCGUGUUGCGCUGUGUGCUGUCUCGUGUGUGUUUUAUGCCCGUGUCGUUCUGCCUGCGGUACAACAAAUUACAAGAGGACCCAUCAACAAGCCCCUCUAGCUGUUGUCAUCGCAUAUGCAGUAUUCGGAAUUCGUCUGCAGUGAAGUCGUCAUGUCAACACAGAGACCCUCGCGCUACCCGUGCUUAACGUCAGCUUCUGAAAAAAGGAUGUGUGUAUAUUGCUCGUGAUUGCGCAUAAGUGGUUCCUGCUCCUAGCAAUAUUCUUGCACAAAAGUUAGCAGCAAGCACCUACCCAAAAGCUCACGUCGGCCCCUGAAGGAAGCCGCAAAUGGUCUGUGUGUAAUUACCGAACGUGCAAUGGAAUUUGUGUUGUGAACGUUAAUCUUAACGCCAGCCUGGCUCGUCCGUCUCGGUGCGUGUGCUGUAAUUAUUCAUGCAAGCGCUCUCUGAAUAUUUAGAAAGCAUAAAAACUGACGCCACAUUUUUUUUAGGAGCUGCAGUCACUUGUGUACGUAGUAUCAUAUCAUUCUCACAGACAUCGACGUCGUCUAUUUUCUCGUCCUGUUUCUCGUGCUGUUAGUGUGCUGUGAAUCUGUCUCAAGAAGCUUAAGUCAAUAUUCUGCAGUACCUAGCGCAGCCGUGUAGCCCCACGGCGAACAUUAAAAUACCUUGUUAUGAGUACGUUUGUUUGUUUAAUUACAAAAUCGAACGUUAAAAUUUUGUAUUCAUAGUGGCAAGUGUAAAGUAAAAAGCUGUCGAAGCUAUCCGCUAAUAGCAUACAUGUGCUUCUACCUGCUUGAGCACAUUAUCUUGAACGUGGGGCUGAAAACUCCAAAUAACCAAAAACAUAUGCAACUGGAGCAGACACUAUGGUUCCUUUCCUGGAAAUGAAAGCCAGCAUCCCAGUCUGUUAAGCUAGUCAUGUACUUAACCUAUAUUAGACCAAUGUUAGAGCAUGCUAACUGGAGCCAUUUCAAAAUAGAUUAUUUGACCAAAAUAAGAAAGUUCAAGGAAAGCGUCAAGGUACAAUCUAAUCUUGUAUUCUUGAACCAAUUGUAUUAGCUAAACUUUAUGCCUCCCUGAAUUGCCUGCGUUAACCCAAUGCUGAAAACUGGGGAAGCUGAUUCUUGCUGUUGAAAAGCUGCUAGUUCUGAGGGACAAUAUCUCUGAGAGAAAGUGAAGGGCACUGACAUUAUCUCUAAUCUUUUGUGUGAGCUUUCACGUUGAACAAGAAUGGAAUAAAAAUAUUUACCUUUGCAAGCCUCAGAAUCCAAACAUUCUCAAAAUUUUGAGGCGCCACUAUAAAUUUUUGAGAUAUAGACGAUAAAAAGUGUGCCUAAGUACAAGUACACACUGAACACACUUGAGUGGUUGAGUGGCCAGCUGCGAAUGCAAAAGCGUCUAUAGCUGCUACCUUGAGGUAACUGCUAGGUUGCACGUGUGUUUCUCCUAUAGCCCAUGUACCUGGCAAGGGAAAUGGUUAUACGUAGUCCCAUUGCAGCAUUGGGCUGUGCUUUUUCUUUUUUUUCAAUAGGUGGUGGCUAGCUGAUUCCGUCUGUUUAUGUAUUUAUCAUUUGUGUGCAUCUUAUGUGCAUGUGUUUGUAUCAUGUUCUGAUUGUUAUACGUGCAGUGAUGCAAGCAUCAUUUUUUAAAUAUACUGCACCACAGUCAUUUAUUCAACUGUGUGUUGAAAUGUACAAAAUGUGGCCACACAGUGAUAGCCAGGACAGCCAGCAGGAUUGGCAAAAAAUAUGAUGCAGAUCCACUGCACUUGCUUGAAUCGACAUGAGGCGAAGCUUUCACGCAACGGUCAGUUAAACUCUAGAAAACUAACUGCAGUGUGUACAGUUGUCCUUAUUUCACCCGAUGCAACACAUACUCAUAUGCAAUGUUUGCUUAUUCACCGCACAGGUCACCUAAUGUAUACAUAGCACGGUGAACUUACUAAAAGGUCGACUCACUAAGACUUCGAACUAACCAUGAGUCUGAGUUAGUGUGAGCCUGGCUGAGUAGAAUUUUGGUGAAUACAUGUAAGAGCAAGCUCGGUUGAGUAAACUUUUAGUGAAUAUUGUCAUGUGGUAGUCAGGGCAAGCUCAUCUGAGUGUAAUUUUAGUGAAUAUGAGUCAAAGCAAGCUCGGCAGGUAGAUUUUUGCUGAAUAUGACUCAGUGCAAGCUCGCCUGAGUAAAAUUUUGAUGAAUAUAAGUCAGAACAAGCUCAGUUGAGUAGAAUUUUGGUCAAUAUGAGUCGGAGCAAGCUCGGCUAAGUAGAGUUUUGGUGAAUAUGACUCGGUGCAAGCUUGCCUGAGCAAAAUCUUUAUGAAUAUUAGUCAGAUCAAGCUUGGCCGAGUAUAAUUUUGGUGAAUAUGACUCUGAGCAAGCUCGACUGAGUAAUGAUGGGAUAUGGUUAUACGAGUUUAUGCAGUAAUACAUGUAAGUGCAGACUCAUUAGCAACAUUGCCUCCAUCUAGAUGGGCAAUACGUAUGCCUCGUUAUGAGUCUGCACACUUUACGAGCUGUAGACAUGCAAGAACCACCCACACUUGAAAAGAUGCUAUCAUUCACAGUAAGGAAUGCAACGGGCUGACUUCACUGCACAAUUUUGAUCUGAUUUUGUUUAAUGAGUUAUCUACCCCUUAUGAAAACAAGGUGUUUGGCUGCUUUUCGCAUUAUUGCAUGUGUUUUACAGGAAGUAGAGACAGAAGCAAGAAAAUCCAAGGAUGUUUAUGGCGAAGUAGUUUGUUUGAGUACAGCGAUAUUUUACAACCAGUAUAAACAAACGUAAUUUGAUGCACUGAAGUAAGCGAAAUAUGCAAUUACCUGUUAAUGGGGGGGGGGGGGGUUAGGGUUAAUACAAAUGCAGUAAGGAUAUGAAGUCUGCAACAACUUGAAGGUUUAUUGGUUUUUGUGCAGGAGAAAAAUUGUACAUCAGAAAAAAUGAGGAAAAAAACUUUAAAUAUUGCUUCGAACACAAAUUGACAAUACUGUUUAUUCCCAGUCAAAGCGUUGAAUAUGCUAUUGUAGAACAUUCAUUAUGAUAUAUAGUUUGCAUGUUCGCUUUUUGAGCUUGAUAAGCAGUCGCGUCUCGCAGCGGGAGCAACAGAACCUUGAAUUGACAUAAUUCAUUGGGGAAAAUGCGCAUGAAAGCCCAAACCAACCAACUGCAACUAAAUGGUCGCAUGUAUAGCGUGACCUAUUGACCGUAGCAUCUGUCCUUAAUAGCAUAUUUAAAUUGUUCCGUUCGUAAAAGCAUACUGGCGCAAAAACUGGCAUUUUCGUAUAUCGCGAGUUGCCUCUACAACCAGAAAAUCGGGAUGACAUCCAAAGACCAUGCCUUCCCGUGAAGGACACCUCGUAGUAUUUACCAACUCGCAGCGCGUGUGAAUAACAGAAAAAUCACGCAAAAGUACGUACUAUCAGCACCCGAACCAAACCAAAAAAAAAGCGUCGCGUGAUUAGCAACGUAGCGGGUCAACAAAACGCAUAGAAAUCACAAAACCGAAUCUGACCUAUGAGUUUUUAUCUGCACUGUUCGCGUGUCAGUGCUGAUGUUACGUACCGAUUGCACAAUCCAAGGUUCCACUCAAUUAGUUGUACUGUUCGAGGCUUGUUGAGGCAAUGUUUAUAGACAAAAAAGUAUCUAUAAAUGUUGCGUUGAGUGACCGCCGCCAUUUUCCAAAACAGACCGUGAAAUAGCUUUCAGCGCAAUUUUGACGGAAAAUCGCAGCCAUUGCUGCGAUGGUGCGACCAACCGGUUGGUCGCAGCUGAAAAUUGCAGAAUCGGCCCUGCGCCUGUAAUUUUCGUUGCAUGCAAUGGAAAUCGCCCUUCCGGUGCGAUGAAAAUCGCACCAUGUGAAACAGCCUUAACGCAGCUGUUUCGGUGCCUUGCUCUUUGCAGUGACAAUGACAGGUGGCCGCGAACAAAACAGGUCUCUUACUGGAAACUGUUGAGUAAUAGGGAAUGUUUAAUAUUUUUCCUGCGAGCUUUGUCAUUCAUGUUAUGGGUAGCAUUCGAAAACAGGUAAAUGUAUGCAUUUCUCGCGGAUUUAGUUCACCCUGUGGUGAUUAAUUCACUGAAAGUGAUAGCGAGUAGAUCGUGUUGUUAGUAUUAGAAUUUUUUUUAAAUAUUCAGGUAUAAUGUCAUGCGGUGGGUAGUUUGCAGGUGCUUUAAACGUGCUCCAAACAUGUUAAUACAAUGUCAUUGACCUGUUUAUCGAGUUGGCGUGCACUUACGCUUUCCUGCUUUGCACUUCGUGCUGUUAUUGCAAAUUUUUCAUGCAUAUUUAAUAUUGUUUGAAAACAUGAGCUGUUAUGUUCAACCGUUCGAUGCUUGUGUUUCCAAAAGAAAAUUUGCAAGGAUGAUCUAAUGUUGUAUACAUGGUUUCAUGUCACCUGACCUGAACUUUGGACGGGUGUAUACCCAUGUAUAGACCAUUUUUUCAUGGGUGCCGCCAUUGCGUAGACAGUGGCGCCAUCUAUGGGGAGUUGGCAUGCUGGCUUUGGCGAACGCCUGUGUUUUAUGCUGUGGUAUACGCUCGGUGGCAGUUUCUGGUGGAUUUAUUCACUCUCCCGCGGUCUAUUUAGCAUGCAAUGGCAUCUAUGUGGAGAAUGGUCCUGUGAGGCCUAGUGAAGGAAUUUAAGUCUGAAGUAAUUAAGCGGCUGGAGUUUCUGCUGGCGUUAGGGCGGACAGAGACACCCAGCGCGAGGUGUGCGCAUUUGUUUGAGCUUACAAUCAGCCUUGGAUAUCAAUUGGGUAUAUCUGAAAAUUAGUUUCACAUAUGUUACCUUACUGCACCAUUUUCGGCGCUGUAAUUCUAAGCUCUGGUUUAGCUGCAAUGAGUAGUUGCAAAACAUUUGACGAUCCUAACGUGGGUACUGUUCUGCUGGCGAAUAAGUUGUGCUGUUUACUUUGACAAGCAUUCAAGUUGUUAUCUGUAGAUGCAUUGGACUGCCUUGUUUGUUGGGCAAGGUUUCCACCCACAAAUGAAAUAGUUUGGUUAAUAAGAACCGCUUACCUUACAGUGUGAAUUACACUUUUCAAGUGGUCGAACGACCAGCUGCAGACUGCGCGAGUGUCUGAGGCUGUACUAAAUACUGUGUUAUAGAUCUGUUUGUUCUAUAUAGCGCAUGGUCCAAGCAUACGGCACAACCAUCCAAAGUCUUAUUGCGUCGUUAUCCCUUGUUCUGUUUUAGUUUGCCGCAAAAGGAGGAUAUAUGAACUCUUCUUUUUUUCAGUCUCGUAAGUUCAGUCAUCUACGACGCAUUCACCCAUCUUACGGAAAUUGUGUCCUUACAAAUAGCUGUUGGAUUCUCUUUAUGCGAUCCCCUUUGUAUAUUGUGCCUUACAGGGCAAAAAGGCAAUGCCGAUCGAAGCAUGAAGCUUAUGUGUAUCAUGUUGGUUUGCCAGCCGCAGUACUCGCUGUGUUGAGCAAAGCCUUUGGCCUCUUGCAGGAGGCUAAUGUAGACAUAAGACAUAGUGAUUUGAAGUCUACUAGACUUAAAAUGAGUGAGAACGUUGCCGGUGGCUGAUGCAAAUGUUUUACAAGUCUUCAUCGAGUGAAAAUCGAUACAUCCAACAUAGUUCACAACACAUACACACACCGCGGCUGAUGAUGCGCGUCGCAUUUUUGCACAUCCAAGAGAAAUUUUCAGAUACUUUAGCUAUUGCUGCACCUAAAGGCUACACAGUGGUUGUUCGAUGACCUCGUUAGAACUGACAUUGCACUCAGAACUAGCUAAAACACCUCCAAAUCGUUCCGCAGCGAGCGUCCGGCAACACAUUCAAGCUGCGCCGCGCCGGCUCGCACAAGCCAGAGAGGAGGAAAGGCUCGUCGCGCGCCCUUUUCUCCUCAUCCGAUGAAAAGGUCUAUAGGAGUGAUUUUUGUUUUAUCAAGUGUGUGAUGUUGCAAAUUUAUACGAUGGUGUUGUCACAUUUUCUCUCUCGUGUGAUGUCUGUUCACUUCAAGUUUAGAGACUUAGUUUUGCAUUGUCUCAAAUAGCGAUUUACAGCUAGUUGCUGCGUUGAACCAUCGUGUUCUGCCAAUUGCAUGGUGUAACCUCUACCCAUAUUUUUUUUAACAUCAUUCUCGUUGACCGAUCUUACGGCAACUGUUUAUUAAGCUUCUUAUUCCUGUACAGAACUCCUGAUUUGGCGUACAAGAUCAAAACGAAGUAGAACAUUUUAUUCUCUGCUUAGUUUACGGAAUUUACCGGUAACUCUUAUUCAUGCCUAUAUGGAACUGUGGGCUACAAGUGGCAGCCAUUCCUGUCACUGCUUUUUGUCACUGCUAACCUAGCCUAACCUAGCUUGUUCUUUUCGCUGUUCCAAAUUUGUCACCGGAGGCUCUCGAUUGUGAGAGCAAGCAUACAUUAAGGUGCACCAAUGUUACAGACAUUACUAAUGAGUCUAUGGGAAUGCAUUGUAUUUGUGUCCCAGUUUCGCUAUGCCACGGCGCAGGACAUUGUCCUGCUGUUCCUGGGCACGGUCUUCGCAAUCCUCCAUGGUGCCGGCUGGCUACUGUUGGCUAUUGUGUUUGGUCAUAUGACGAAUGCCUUCAUCCACCAGCAGCAGGCGGUCUUCUAUGAUGGUGACAGCACAAAUUUCACCACGCUGCCGCCUCCUCAGACCUUUGGGGAAGCAAUACGGCGAAGUGGGGCGCAGUCCAUGUUUGACCCUGUAACCAUCCUGGAGUAUAACAUCACCAUGAACAAGUUUGCACUCACCUACGUCAUCAUUGCCGCUGGGUCUUCGUGUCUUCAUUUAUACAUGUGUGGUGUUGGACCAGAGCCUGUGAUCGUCAGCUGUACAGGCUGCGGCAAGAGCUGUUCUACUCGAGCCUACGACAGGAUGCAGCCUGGUUUGACAGGCACCGUGUCACUGAAGUUGCGUCAAGAAUGAGUGAUGACAUGGAGCGUCUGCAUGAGGGAAUGGGUGACAAAAUGGGCCUCUUCAUUCACUACCUGUCCACCUUUGCAUCUGGCUUUGCCACAGGGUUUGUUGAGAGCUGGGAGCUCACCCUGGUCAUCAUGUCAGUCACACCACUGCUUGCCUUUGCCACAGCAUUCCUGGACAAUAUGGUGUCCCAAUCAGCUGCCAAGGAGCAAGAAAAGUGUGCACAGGCAGAGGCAGUGGCCCUGGAAGUUCUAAGCAAGAUACGAACUGUGGCUGCCUUCUGUUUUCAAUAUGGCAAGCUGCAGCGGUACAUGACUGCUCUAGAAGCGGGCAAGACUGCUGCAAGGCGCAUGUAGCCAUGGCAUUUCGAUUCGGCCUGACAUUUGUGGUCCUUUACGAUGCCUAUGCACUUGCUUUUUGGGUUACCUUUGACUAAAAUGGCAUCUGCAAAGAACUCCUGUAAAAGAAAGAGGCGUGAUAGCGACUCGUACUCUGAACUUGGUGUGCAGCUAAAACAGUUCACCUCCCAUCUUUCUUUUAAGGACCACUCCUUCUUUUAUCCAAGAUACCCAGGCCACUUGGUAAGAGUCGU